RNAcentral lists this ribosomal RNA (404 nucleotides) under Verrucomicrobiota bacterium. RNAcentral's name for it is "Verrucomicrobia bacterium partial 16S ribosomal RNA". It matches the Rfam family "Bacterial small subunit ribosomal RNA", at positions 355 to 776 of the family's 1533-position model. Lineage: Bacteria; Pseudomonadati; Verrucomicrobiota. The record is from RNAcentral.
UGGGGAAUAUUGGACAAUGGGCGCAAGCCUGAUCCAGCCAUGCCGCGUUAGUGAUGAAGGCCCUAGGGCUGUAAAGCUCUUUCACCGGUGAAGAUAAUGACGGUAACCGGAGAAGAAGCCCCGGCUAACUUCGUGCCAGCAGCCGCGGUAAUACGAAGGGGGCUAGCGUUGUUCGGAUUUACUGGGCGUAAAGCGCACGUAGGCGGACUUUUAAGUCAGGGGUGAAAUCCCGGGGCUCAACCCCGGAACUGCCUUUGAUACUGGAAGUCUUGAGUAUGGUAGAGGUGAGUGGAAUUCCGAGUGUAGAGGUGAAAUUCGUAGAUAUUCGGAGGAACACCAGUGGCGAAGGCGGCUCACUGGACCAUUACUGACGCUGAGGUGCGAAAGCGUGGGGAGCAAACAGG